This is a non-coding RNA of Triticum aestivum (bread wheat), 82 nucleotides long. The record is from Rfam. Lineage: Eukaryota; Viridiplantae; Streptophyta; Magnoliopsida; Poales; Poaceae.
GGUGGCGAAUGAUGUGAACUAUUUUGCUAGACACUGAAUCUUUGACAUGUUUACAAAAUUCCGUUUAUUAUUUGAUGCCAUU